UUUUUGAUGCGAAUAUUAAUUAUCAUGAUCUUUCAAAUUUCUUUUUCUUGGGUGGGAUUUAGAUCAAGUUCAAAAGUUAGUUUCCUCAUUUGGGUAUUUUCAGAUUUUUGCAGUUUCUGUUCUACUUGGUAAGAUUUGUUUGUAUGAGGUGCCAAUGGCUAGGAAAAGAAUGAUCUAAGUGGCUCCUGAAUUCAUUCCAGAUUCAUGACAUUGCAGCUGAUGAAAGAGCAUGGAAACAAGGGAGAGGAGAUGGAGCAAUCAAGCCGUUGUUCCAUUGGACAGAACUGUUGGCUGCAGCCAUGCAUACACAAGGCCCUAGUGCAGCUUUCCUAAAAUGGACAAGAGACUUUCCCUUAAAAUGGAAUUUCCCUCUUUCUUUUAAUUUAUUGCUACAUCAAGACUUGUUUGCUGAUAGAUAUAGAAAAUAACAUUAGCUUUUCUAAAAGCUUAAAAUUUUUCAUCCAAACAAAGCAUAACCACACUUGUCAAUUAAAACAUUAUUAACUUAUUUUCACA
This is a long non-coding RNA of Hevea brasiliensis (rubber tree), 516 nucleotides long. RefSeq lists it as uncharacterized. The transcript has 2 exons. The record is from RefSeq and is a predicted model, not a curated record. Lineage: Eukaryota; Viridiplantae; Streptophyta; Magnoliopsida; Malpighiales; Euphorbiaceae.